This is a non-coding RNA of Phascolarctos cinereus (koala), 1121 nucleotides long. The record is from RefSeq and is a predicted model, not a curated record. NCBI's taxonomy places the organism in Eukaryota, Metazoa, Chordata, Mammalia, Diprotodontia, Phascolarctidae.
GACAACUAGCUAGAGGACCAGAAGACCAACCCAAUUCCUCAGCAUCGCCCCAGAUUUCUCUUUGGUUGCAGAGUCCAUCCAUUCCAGAUAGGCAAUCUCUUCACUCGAUUUGGAGCUUUCUUCCAAAGUCCUGAUAAGGAACCUGAUGAGGUUUGGGGAGAGAUUUAAGGAAAGAAAGAUAUGAGCCUACAAGGAUUGCUACUGCUUUUGCAACAUUUCACACAUCAUGUGAGAUACCCACCAAGUGUACUCACAGCACGCACCAAUGUGACAAAAAUGGAAAUCUUAAACUACAACGGAACUCAAUUUAACGAGGUGAACAAGAGAUAUUACAGCAGGCUUCCUGCAGCCAGUCUUGGAGGAAGCGGGCUUCUAAAUGGGGCCUUUCUCUCUCUUGGGUCCAAAGCUUUCCAGGUUUACCAAAGUGCCAGUGCCGAGGAUGCUGGCUAAUGGAGGACUUUUACCAGCGGGUCUACUCAGAUUGUAUGUGUUGUCAACAUAUCAAAGAUCAUGAGAUGUAAUGAGAUAAUAUUCACAGCAAGUAAAAUAACCCCCAAAAUAACCAUGGUAUUAACUUUAUAGCAUUUUGAAGUUAGUUACAAAGUGCUUUCCAUAAAUUACUUCAUAAUGUAGUACUAUCACAUGACUCACUGAAAUCAAUCAGUAAGCAUUUAUUAAGUACCUUCUAUAUACCAGGCGCUACAGGUAGAGAAUACAAGACUCCAUUGCACAUGGUGUUUUUCAUUGUUAGAAAAAAAAAAAAAAGGAUUUGUUUUGGCAGAGUAAAAUGCUGCCUCAUAGCAACUCUUCCCAUAAAGUGCCUCCCAUGACUACAUCAAAAUCAUUAAAGUCUCUCAUAAGACAUAACAAUGGAGAUGAUCUUGUUUGAAGACUUUAUGAUUAAGCUCAGUACUAGAAUAAUACAAGGACUAACUGUGUGACCCUAGGCAAGUCACUUAACCCCAAUUGCUUCACAAAAAAAGAAAAAAAGAAUAAUAUAAGGAGACUUAUGUUUGCCAAAGGUGCUCAUUGCUUACACGGAGAUCCAGCAGAGUCUAAAUGGAAGUUGUUGUUCAGUCAUUUUUUCAGUUGUAUCUGAUUCUUCAUGACCCCAUUUGGGG